GGAAUUUUCCGCAAUGGGCGAAAGCCUGACAGAGCAAUACCGCGUGAGGGAUGAAGACUUACUGAGUUGUAAACCUCGGUACCUUAAGGAAGAAGAUAUGACGGUACUUAAGGUGGAAAGCAUCGGCUAACUCCGUGCCAGCAGCCGCGGUAAGACGGGGGAUGCAAGUGUUAUCCGGAUUUACUGGGCGUAAAGCGUCUGCAGGUGGUUUCUUAAGUCUACUGUUAAAUCUUGAGGCUCAACCUCAAAUCUGCAGUAGAAACUAGGAGACUUGAGUAUAGUAGGGGUAGAGGGAAUUUCCAGUGGAGCGGUGAAAUGCGUAGAUAUUGGAAAGAACACCGAUGGCGAAGGCACUCUACUGGGCUAUUACUGACACUCAGAGACGAAAGCUAGGGGAGCAAAUGGGAUUAGAUACCCCUGUAGUC
RNAcentral lists this ribosomal RNA (425 nucleotides) under uncultured eukaryotic phytoplankton. RNAcentral's name for it is "bacterial SSU rRNA". It matches the Rfam family "Bacterial small subunit ribosomal RNA", at positions 358 to 795 of the family's 1533-position model. The record is from RNAcentral.